GAUGAAGAACGCAGCGAAAUGCGAUAAGUAAUGUGAAUUGCAGAAUUCAGUGAAUCAUCGAAUCUUUGAACGCACAUUGCGCCCGCCAGUAUUCUGGCGGGCAUGCCUGUCCGAGCGUCAUUUCAACCCUCGAACCCCUCCGGGGGGUCGGCGUUGGGGAUCGGGAACCCCUAAGACGGGAUCCCGGCCCCGAAAUACAGUGGCGGUCUCGCCGCAGCCUCUCCUGCGCAGUAGUUUGCACAACUCGCACCGGGAGCGCGGCGCGUCCACGUCCGUAAAACACCCAACUUCUGAAAUGUUGACCUCGGAUCAGGUAGGAAUACCCGCUGAACUUAAGCAUAUCAAUAAGCGGAGGA
RNAcentral lists this unclassified non-coding RNA (356 nucleotides) under soil metagenome. Its description in RNAcentral is "partial contains 5.8S ribosomal RNA, internal transcribed spacer 2, and large subunit ribosomal RNA". The stretch from base 1 to 120 matches the Rfam family "5.8S ribosomal RNA", at positions 35 to 154 of the family's 154-position model. The record is from RNAcentral.